AGUGGGCAUAUGAUGAAUCUUAUAUAUAUAGUGUAAAUUGGGUAAUUUGCAUCUGAGUUGCAUUGAUGCUAUAUCACCAUGGAGGUUUGAUGCCCAAC
Molecule: small nucleolar RNA, 98 nt
Organism: Lotus japonicus
Lineage: Eukaryota; Viridiplantae; Streptophyta; Magnoliopsida; Fabales; Fabaceae
Source: RefSeq, a predicted model, not a curated record